RNAcentral lists this long non-coding RNA (1640 nucleotides) under Homo sapiens (human). RNAcentral's name for it is "HSALNT0344364". The record is from RNAcentral. Lineage: Eukaryota; Metazoa; Chordata; Mammalia; Primates; Hominidae.
GACGUGCGCACACGCCACCGCCGGCCCGCGCGCACUCGGGCGGGAGCCUCGGCACGGACUGCGGGGCGCGUGGCGGCUGCGGGGCACGCGGGCCCGAGCGGGACUGGCCGGCUGCGAGUGGGCGGCCGCGGAGCUGGGGCCUGGGAGGGGACGGUCCUGCCGGGAGGAGGCGGAGGCAGGACAGGGUGGGGUUGCGGGCCCGGCGCCGCCCCUCCCGGCUCCUGGCUCCCCUCGCCUGGUGUCCCGCGCCUGGCCGGGAGGCGGCGGGUCUCGAUCGCGCGGGCCUCCCUGGAGGGGCGCGGGCUCUGGCGGCGGGGAGGCCCCUGCUCAGCGCAAUGGCGGGCUUGCAUCCUUGGGUGAUUUUUUCGGGCCCCUUGUGGCCUUUGCUCACGCCUAGAGAGCAAACCACCCGCACCACCCAGGAGCAGAUAAAAUCGAGACCACAGCCUCCAAGGGAGCGCGCCUCCAUCCUGUUUGCCCCUCGGGUCGCCGUCUGAGGGCGGGCCCGUGCCCGCUCAGAGCCUACAUCCGAGUCGUAUAAAGCGCUGACAGCAGAGAAAGCUGCGGCUUUGCUCCGUGCAGAUGAGCAGGGGCUGAGGGAGGACGCUGUGCUCUCAGUAGCCGCGCUUGGCCCGGGGACCCUGCAGGCUUAGAAACGUGAGUCACGCCUGCAGCGUGGCGAGGAAACGCCGUUGAUGUGGCAUCCUCAGCCUGGGGUUGUGGCUUUAAGCCAGAAGGUCAAAAAAAGAAGUCUUCCUGAGCUGAGACUGCCCUGAGUCGCUUUAGGGGCGAAAUUCCGAGCAUCCGGUUGCAUUUCCUGAGGAUGACACGCGUGGUGGGUGUGGACGGCCUACAGGGGUCCAUCCUCAGCGGCCCCUCUGCAGGGCAGUCUCGCUCUCACUCUCCCAGCUGACUCCUCUCAAGCCUGUUAACCAUUGUACACGUUCCCAAGGACUCCAAGCAGGUUGGACUUCAGGGAACAUUGCAGUUUGGGUCUUGGCCAUUGUUUACACUCCACCUUGCAUAAGUGCUUGAGGAUCACACAACCAGAUACGUAGAUCAUCCGUAGAUCAUCGCAGUCACAUCGAAGAUUUGUUUAUAAUAGGAAAAAAAAAAGCUACCCACUGUCAUGCGCUGGGAAACUAGUGAGCUGAAGGAUGACCCAUCUGUAAAUGGGGUGCUCCCUAAUGGACAGGGCACCUUUCAGAAGCCUGUGCUGUGUCUCCUCGACCCCACUGUGAGCUCCCCGUCCCGCACGCUGAUCUAAAUCAAGCUGCUAACCUCAUGGAGAGGCGUCCGCACGGGAGCCCCGGCCCUGAGAUGCGGGGCAGUCACCCAUUCAAUUAGGAAACACCAGCAAGUGCCAGAAGCUUCUCAUUAGCAGGGAGUGUGGGUGUGGCAGCAACCCAGCAUCUACCAUGCCGACCAUGUGCCAUGCCAUGCACCGCGUGUCGUAACAGGACAACAGAGCAAGAGACCCAGCAGACAGGGGUCCCCAGCAACCUCAUGAAGCGCCAUCCACUCACCUCCAGACAGUCUGGGGAGAGAGACUGAAACUUCUGUCUAAGCCACUUCAUCUUUGAUCUCCUUGUUUUUGUGGUUCAGGUUGUAUCUUAAUAAAUAAAACGUGUUUGAGUUCA